RNAcentral lists this ribosomal RNA (301 nucleotides) under uncultured bacterium. RNAcentral describes it as "partial 16S ribosomal RNA". It matches the Rfam family "Bacterial small subunit ribosomal RNA", at positions 509 to 807 of the family's 1533-position model. The record is from RNAcentral.
CAGUAGCCGCGGUAAUACAGAGGGUGCGAGCGUUAAUCGGAAUUACUGGGCGUAAAGCGCGCGUAGGUGGUUUGUUAAGUUGGAUGUGAAAUCCCCGGGCUUAACCUAGGAACUGCAUCCAAAACUGGCAAGCUAGAGUAUGGUAGAGGAUGGUAGAAUUUCAUGUGUAGCGGUGAAAUGCGUAGAGAUAGGAAGGAAUACCAAUGGCGAAGGCGACCACCUGGACUGAUACUGACACUGAGGUGCGAAAGCGUGGGGAGCAAACAGGAUUAGAUACCCCAGUAGUCCCUGUCUCUUAUAC